CUGCAUCCAAUUAAGCUAAGUUCCUUUCCUCAUGGGGCCUGGUGUGCUCUGGCUGCAAACAGCAUCCUACCUGGGAGGCUGCUUGUAUGGGUUUCUCUAAGGGACCUUAGAAACAGAA
Small nucleolar RNA from Peromyscus maniculatus bairdii (prairie deer mouse), 118 nucleotides. Its record names the gene SNORA70. It matches the Rfam family "Small nucleolar RNA SNORA70". Rfam says of the family: snoRNA U70 seems to be exclusive to mammals and is a member of the H/ACA class of snoRNA which contain H (ANANNA) and ACA box motifs. H/ACA box snoRNAs are involved in the conversion of uridines to pseudouridines (5-ribosyluracil) a constituent of structural RNAs (transfer, ribosomal, small nuclear, and small nucleolar). The record is from Ensembl. NCBI's taxonomy places the organism in Eukaryota, Metazoa, Chordata, Mammalia, Rodentia, Cricetidae.